AUACGGAGGGUGCAAGCGUUAAUCGGAAUUACUGGGCGUAAAGCGCACGCAGGUGGUUUGUUAAGUCAGAUGUGAAAUCCCCGGGCUCAACCUGGGAACUGCAUCUGAUACUGGCAAGCUUGAGUCUCGUAGAGGGGGGUAGAAUUCCAGGUGUAGCGGUGAAAUGCGUAGAGAUCUGGAGGAAUACCGGUGGCGAAGGCGGCCCCCUGGACGAAGACUGACGCUCAGGUGCGAAAGCGUGGGGAGCAAACAGGAUUAGAUACCCUGGUAGUCCACGCCGUAAACGAUGUCGACUUGGAGGUUGUGCCCUUGAGGCGUGGCUUCCGGAGCUAACGCGUUAAGUCGACCGCCUGGGGAGUACGGCCGCAAGGUUAAAACUCAAAUGAAUUGGCGGGG
Molecule: ribosomal RNA, 396 nt
Filed under: uncultured bacterium
Lineage: Bacteria
Description: partial 16S ribosomal RNA
Rfam family: Bacterial small subunit ribosomal RNA
Source: RNAcentral